GGGGGGGGGGGGGGGGGGGGGGGGGGGGUGGGGGGGGGGCGGGGGCACAGGAGGGGGUUGGUCGUCCGGGUGGCGGGUUGCGGCCGGGUGCGGAAUACAUCGGAAUCUGGUUUUUCGUGGGGGGUCACGUAGGGAAACUUACGCUACUGCCGCGUACGACCUACGGGUGCAAGCAGUGAGUCUUCGGCCCUUGCGCGAUUUACUGAUGCGCUGUCGGCUUGUCGAGGUGUGGGGGUAAAGUCCCACCCAGGCACCGAUCCGUAGCUGUUCUGGUAGGAUGAUCAGCCAAACUGGAACUGAGACACGGUCCAGACUCCUACGGGAGGCAGCAGUGGGGAAUAUUGGACAAAGGGCGCAAGCCUGAUCCAGCCAUACCGCGUGGGUGAAGAAGGCCUUCGGGUUGUAAAGCCCUUUUGUUGGGAAAGAAAAGCAGCAGGUUAAUACCCCGCUGUUCUGACGGUACCCAAAGAAUAAGCACCGGCUAACUUCGUG
Molecule: ribosomal RNA, 492 nt
Filed under: uncultured bacterium
Lineage: Bacteria
Description: partial 16S ribosomal RNA
Rfam family: Bacterial small subunit ribosomal RNA
Source: RNAcentral